CGGGGUGUUUUCCUCAUCAUACCCCUUUAAAAAGCAAGGAGUGCCCUCUUAACUCCCCUUAAGAAUAGUGGAAUUACCUCCACACCCUUGAAUUCCUUAUUGAUUUACCGCCCUGCCAUUCCCUCCUUCAUCCCUGCUUCCCUUCUCCCACUUCCCUGCUUCAGUGCUUCCCUUCUUCUCUCUUUCACCCCUCAACAAACCCUAACUCUACUCAUCGCCCCAUUUUCUCUCACCUUCUCACUCCUUCUCUAAGAAUGCUUCCCAUCUCCUCUCUGCUACACUGCUCUCUCUCUCUCUUCUGUUCAGGGCUACAUCGCGGCAAGAACGUCUCCAAGUUGCAGAUGAAGGUUAAAUAUGUAAUGCCAUUGUUAUUUUCUACUGGUAUUCGCGUAGAAGUUUGAAGAAAGGGUAUGCAAAGAUGCCGUCGUAUGAGAGUGUGAUGACAGACUUUUUCUGGAAUAUUGUUGCCAAUAAUGAGAGAAGAGAAGUGGCAGAAAAUGAGGCAAGUGGAGAGAGGAAGUUAGUGGAUAACAUUGGUUCCUGAAGGUGUUCGUCAGUGAUGAAAAUGCAAGACUAAAUUUGUUACAAUAGGAGCACGGUUGAAAAUCGCACUUGGUUUGGUUAUCUCAAGCUAAUACUCGGUAUAAGGUUUCAACAUGUCAUUUAUUUAGAAAUUUGUUUGCAGUCAAGUUCUUGGUUCAUAGUAGUUUGCAGUUUAGCAACAUAUUAAUUUGUUUACAGAAACUGAUUUCAAUCACUGUCACUACUACCUAAACUGAAUAAUCUUGGUCUGUUGAAUCCAAUUUGACCUUUUAUAGAAGGUUUAGAUACAUUCAGUUUUAGUCUCUUAUGAAUUGGUAUGCUGAAUUUGCUUAUGUACCAUGUCUCUAUUUUAUACCACCUUGCUACUUUUAUAGUUUCUGUUGGCGAGCAACUUGAAUGACACUUAAAGUUUUGGAGGAGGCAUUCACAAUUUGAAGGUAGUGUAUGUUGAUGAAGAUGUUUUUGAUGACAUUUACUAUAGAUGUUUGUAAGAGUUGAUGACAAAUUUUUCUUAGAAUCAUUAAUAAGUGGAAUCAAUCUCAUCCUUUUGUUACAGCAGCUAAUGAAUUUCUGUUUGCUGGGACACGGUGUAUGAUUAGGAUUUCUUUCUAAUUUGCAGCUUGCCCUCUUUAUCCGUUAAAGUAAUCUGUUUUCUUACACACAAAAGGAAUUAUUUCUGAUCAGAUAGGUAUUCUUUGUGGUGUUUAAUGUCUAAGAACAUUUUUGGGGAAGAUUUAAGUUCAUCUUGUGUUGGAGUAUAUUGGAUUUUGUUCCUCUUCUCUUAGGUUUUAGGAGGUCUUAGGUUUUAGGAGGACCCAAGUUUUGGUGCAACGGUAAGAUUCACUAUUAAUAGAAGCAACUUGACAUCUUCUUAGUUCUCUAUUCCCGUAGAAUUUUUCUUAUUUUUAGUAUGCUUUACUGAAAUUGUCGUUGUCAUUCUAGAAACAGUAAGAGUUCAUGAUGUAUGAUGAUUUCAUAGUAGAAGUAUAUUUUAUUUUACAUUAACUCUGUAAUUUCAAGAAAAGAGAUGUGUUCUACAUUUAUGGAUGCCUUUAGAUAGCAUGAUAGUUUGAAUUACUUUGUGUGAGUGUUCCUGACUUCAUCUUUUCUGUGUCUCUUCUCUCUCUAUCAACGUUUCAGGUUGAAGUUGAACGAAUUUAUAUUGGUGAUGCUUGAACUUCGAGUUGAUAUAAAAAGCAAACGCAGCCGUGAAGAAUAUGCUUUGUACUGAACAUGUCGGUCGAGGUCAUGUCGGUCGAGGUAAGAUCGACAACAACCCUGCGCUCCAGUAGUCUCUCAAUUAAGCAAGUGGCAUUAGAAGAAGUGGCGUUAGAGGAUAAUGUAGAGGAGGCUUUGGAGGUUGCGGAGAAGUGUAAAUGCUUUGAGAAAUACCUCCCUUUUGUAUUUGUGCAAGCUCUGUUGUAGUAAUUAAUAUUGUGUAUGUGCGAAAGCUAAGUAGUACCAAAAUCAUGUACGACUUUUGCAAGCAACUAAUGUUUAUGUUGCGUGACUUUAGUAUGUAUACUGCAUUACUACCUUGUGUGAUGGGUUUUUUCAAAGGAACAUGCAACCCUUGUGAUUUUAUGUUCUUAAGAAAUACUCAUUACACGUUUUGGAUCAUUAUGACUUAUGUAUUAGGGAUUUCUAUGUCCUAAUGAAUUAAUUAACCAUGUUUCUUAUCAUCUA
Long non-coding RNA from Spinacia oleracea (spinach), 2229 nucleotides. RefSeq lists it as uncharacterized. The record is from RefSeq and is a predicted model, not a curated record. The transcript is spliced from 5 exons. Lineage: Eukaryota; Viridiplantae; Streptophyta; Magnoliopsida; Caryophyllales; Amaranthaceae.